Long non-coding RNA from Passer domesticus (house sparrow), 1594 nucleotides. RefSeq lists it as uncharacterized. Lineage: Eukaryota; Metazoa; Chordata; Aves; Passeriformes; Passeridae. The record is from RefSeq and is a predicted model, not a curated record. The transcript has 4 exons.
UCUGAUGGUAGAUGGGGGCUGCUGGUGCUGCCUGGAGCAGCUGUGCACCUGCAGUGGCAGUUUCCUGCUCCCUCUCUGCAGCAGGGAUGGUGGCAGUGGCGAUGGUGAUGGGUGUCUCUCUGUCCCUGCAGAGCUCUGUUUGGCACUGCCACUGCCAUCAGUCUGCCACGCUGGGCAUGUGUGUGGGAAUGGGAUCUGCCACUUUGCUGCCUCUUCCUACCACCCUGCUGGGCUCCACUUGGCUUGGCUGGACUCACUUGGGAUCAGUGUCACCACUCUGGCUUGCCUUGUUCUGUUGCAGUGGAAAAACAGUCCCACAUGCCACCCUGGCCCUGAUGGUUUCAGCUGUGUGUCAGAGCUGCCACUUCCGUGCCACCCAUUUCAGCCCCGCCUCCUGAGCAAUAUUGUGGAAGGAGAAAAAUGGGGGAAAAAAUGGUGGUGGUGCUUUGGUCCCAAGGCCUCCCUGUUAGAGUGAGUCAGACAGAACGAUCCUCCUUGCAUUUUCUGUCAUGGCAUUUCCCUGCUGUGGGAAUGCCAUUUCCCAUAGCUAUGAUGUAAAAUGUUUUGAAUAUAUAGUAUUCAAUAAUAUAAUACACAUACAUAUAUAUAGAUAUAUAUAUGUGUAUAUAUAAAUAAAAUAUAUAUACAGAAAGAUCCAUGACCAUGUCUCUGUACCUAGGAGAAACCUCUAAAUGUAAUUAAAGCAGUGCUUCUUCUCCUUGUUUUCUGAUUUCUACCACAAAGGAACAAGCCUUCUGAUUUUUGCUCAGCAGAAAUAGUGGCCAAAGACCACUAAUGUGGUUCCUCAUAUCCUGGUCCCUUCUCAGUGCUCAGCUUCUCAGUGUGGGCUCUAGGGGCUGAGUGUGUUCCUGCUCUUACAUGCCUUGAGCAACAGGUGAUGGACUAGGAGGGCUUUUUGUGUUGCUUUGUAGCAGAGGAGAACUUUGCAGGCUUUUUUUGGCAUUAGGUGUAGAGCAGGUCUGGUUCUAUGCAUGAAUUCACAAUCCAGCCUAGGGCGGCUGCUAUUGUGAUGUCAGCAGCCGCAUCCCGGCGUUGUCAAGGCAAAGUUGCUGUGCCGAGGCCCAGGAGGGCUCAGUGUGCAGAGCAGCUCUGUGGCACGCUCACUGCAGGCGAACCUGCUGAUCGACGAGGUCUCUGCCAGCAGGACUCGGAAUAUUUUUGUUUUUUCCCACAGGCGUUGUCUGGUGCAGACUUGAGCAGCGCUGCUCGAGCCAUGGAGGGAGUGUGUGCUGCAGUUUGCACGGCUUUUUCCGUGGCUUAUUCUGGGUACUUUCUCACCCACCUGGCACGUCACAUGACCCGUGCCUGGAGAGAAUCCGGUCUUUGGAGCCCAGCACCAACCUCGGAGGAUCCUCUGGCUGCGUGUCUUCCUGCAGAAGAGGCCAAAGAAGAGGAAGAUGCUCCCCAAACUGCACCUGCUGCCACUGCAGGGCCUGAGCAUCCAGCAUCAAGCACAAGGGCAGCGUCAGCACCUACUCUGGCUGCCUCUGUACCCGAGGAAGAGGCUGAAGAGGAGGAAGGUGCCAAUGAACCUGGCCCUGCUGUCAGCCCACAGCCAGAGCAAACAACACCA